UACAGAGGUCUCAAGCGUUGUUCGGAUUCAUUGGGCGUAAAGGGUGCGUAGGCGGCGCGGUAAGUCGGGUGUGAAAUCUCGGGGCUUAACUCCGAAACUGCAUUCGAUACUGCCGUGCUUGAGGACUGGAGAGGAGACUGGAAUUCCUGGUGUAGCGGUGAAAUGCGCAGAUAUCAGGAGGAACACCGGUGGCGAAGGCGGGUCUCUGGGCCGAUACUGACGCUGAGGAGCGAAAGCGUGGGGAGCAAACAGG
This 253-nucleotide ribosomal RNA is filed under the name uncultured bacterium. Its description in RNAcentral is "partial 16S ribosomal RNA". It matches the Rfam family "Bacterial small subunit ribosomal RNA", at positions 524 to 776 of the family's 1533-position model. The record is from RNAcentral.